ACCUAAUGGAGGGAUUAGUAGGAAAAUGAAGCUGUGUUUGCUGAACUAUACACUAAUAGAUGAAGAGUUGUUUAAGAAACGCUCUAAUGGUGUAUUGCUAAAGUGUGUAAGUUUGCAAGAAGCCAGGACGAUCAUGGCUAAGGUGCACGAAGGGAUAUGUGGAGCUCAUCAAGCUGGCCAAAGGAUGAGAUGGUUAAUUAUUAGGAGUGGAUAUUUUUGGCCAAAGAUGGGAGAAU
Molecule: long non-coding RNA, 236 nt
Filed under: Olea europaea (common olive)
Lineage: Eukaryota; Viridiplantae; Streptophyta; Magnoliopsida; Lamiales; Oleaceae
Description: long non-coding RNA (OEUR_LNC007391)
Source: RNAcentral